Molecule: long non-coding RNA, 913 nt
Organism: Ornithorhynchus anatinus (platypus)
Lineage: Eukaryota; Metazoa; Chordata; Mammalia; Monotremata; Ornithorhynchidae
Exons: 2
Source: RefSeq, a predicted model, not a curated record
UUCGCUCCCAAUCAUCUAGUACAGUGCUCACCGUUGAUUGAUCGGCUGGCCACCUGGUCACAGUCCCUUGGUGAACAGGAGGCAGCGAGGCUUGCUUCUAGGAGGGUUGAUUUAACCCACCCCUAUGGGGCAGGAAGCCGCGAACCGGCCCCCUGAGGACGAGGACAGAGCGGGUGAGCUACACCGCUAAGGGGCUGGCGUCGGCACACGCCAGAGAGCCCAGGGCCAGGCUGAGCCAAGAGAGGCAAGCAGGUCCUGGGGAAAUGGCGUUCUCACCUGUCCAGCCCAUGCUCCCCUCCUACAGUUCUGGGUCCUGGCGGGACAGAAACGGGGACGGAGAGGAGAACUCCAGAUGCUGAGAGCCCCAGCCUCAUGGAACUGGAAAUCCGGAGGUGGGGAAAUAAUAGAAAUUAUAUUUGCUAAGCGCUUACUAUGUGCCAAGCACUGUAGUGAGCGUUGGAGUACAUACAAGAUACUCAGGUCAGAUGCAGUCCCUGUCCUCUUUGGGGCUCAGUCUGUCGGGCAGGCGGAACCCCCAUUUCACAAGUGAGGAAACUGAGGCCGAAGAAGUGAAGCGGCUUGCCCGAGGUCAUCUAGCAGGCAAGUUACAGUCAGAAUUAGAACCCGGGUCCUCUGAGUCCUAGGUCCAAGCCCUUGAGGGCACACUCCAUGGGGAUCUGAGAUUAAUUGCAUAGCGACUAUCAAGUGCCCAGCACUGGACCAAGGAUACUCGGAUUAGGAGCUAGGAUCCCUCCCUUCAAGGAGCUUGCUUUCUGAAAUGCUGACUGGCCCAACCCCCUCAAAUGGAGAGCCCAAGGGAGGGAAAAGGGGACGGUCCUGACUGACUGCCCAGCCUCUGUAGCCUCCCCACCCCCAGUCCUCCCCCAAAAUGUAAAUAAACCAUGCGAAUGUG